RNAcentral lists this unclassified non-coding RNA (542 nucleotides) under Hevea brasiliensis (rubber tree). Lineage: Eukaryota; Viridiplantae; Streptophyta; Magnoliopsida; Malpighiales; Euphorbiaceae. The record is from RNAcentral.
UUCCAAUUGUUUUGUUAUUCAUGAAUUACUGUUAAUUUGUCCUGGUUGUGGUUAUUAGGUUAGCUUUCAUUGUCUUUUUAGUGUAUUCAUCAACUAAAUAGAUCUGCUGGGGCUGUUUACUGUUUGUGAAAUAUCUUAAGUAAUGACCAUGAGCUUUUUGAAAACUUAUUUCAUUAUUAACAAUAAUUUCUUUGUCCUUUUUCUUGGGUUUUUUUUGGUAGCGCUUUGAAGGCUCAAUAGACCUUAGGCUACAAGAUGGAGAGUUGCCCUAACUCAUCCUUAUAUCCCUUUCCCAUCAGAUUUGAGUAUGGGAUUUCCUAAUUAGAAUUCCUAAGUUCAUUUUAUUCUGCAAGUCUUGAGGGCAAGUGUCAAACUGUUGAAUAAAUGCCCAUGAAAAGAAGGGGGAAAAAAUUCUAUACAUUAUCAACUUGUCGACGUUUUUUCCAUCAAGUAAUAUAAUUUGAUUAAAUUUGUUUGACAAUUUAAGUUCACUUGAAGUUAGUGCCUUCUUGGUAAAGUUUUUGUUGGUUCCUUUUGUUUAA